Molecule: long non-coding RNA, 1027 nt
Organism: Labrus bergylta (ballan wrasse)
Lineage: Eukaryota; Metazoa; Chordata; Actinopteri; Labriformes; Labridae
Source: RefSeq, a predicted model, not a curated record
CUGAUUAACCAGUGUGUCUCUGUGUUCAUUUUCUCCAUGCCAGUUUUUUUCAUCAAACAUUUUAACCCUUGUUUCUUGUGGAUCUUCCUCAUGGCUCUUCUUGUGUUUUUCACCUGUUUUGUUGGACCUUGUUGCUUCUUGGACUCUGUAAAAAUAUGGAUUCUUGAGUGGAGUACAGUGGCACCAGACAAAGCAGAGCGGCCUUGAGACCCCCGACCGGCCCUUGCUGAGGUUGGAAAUUCAGGAGUAAAGCCUUGAGAGACUCUUCCAACUUUGAUCCAACUUUAGUCACCAGGGCAAUAACCAGGUUUUAGGUCCGCCAGCUAACCUGUCAUGAACUCACCAGUCUACUGCCAGGACGCAGCGAGCUUCAUCAGUCAGGACAGCUCUGAGCUCUGCAGCAAAUCUAAUAAACCAGUAACAGUUUUCUUACUCCCACCAAGAAUGGUAACCAAGCUGCUCAAAUAUUGGAUCUCAGGAAAUAGUGAAGGACAAUUUCCCUUCGAGCGUAACAUUAGAAUGCACAGGCCUGGCUCCCGGAGGUUCGGGGCCACCACCGCUGGGUCACUCCAAUUAAACGGAGCUUCCCUGCUGUGGCCCGAGCCAGCCUGAACACGGGAGCACCCGAGGGGAGCUGGAGGAAGAAGUAGAGGAAGGAGAGAUGAGAGACACACACAUCCCUGAGCAGUGUGUUAUGCUUGGCACAUAUUUGGCCCAGCGGCUCUCCCUGUCUACACUUCUGGGUCCUGAUUAUGCUGCAAAGUGAUCAUUAGAAAGAAAAAAAAAAAGAGAAAAACAUUCAAGGACAGCAAGAGUAAAGACAAAGCAUCUGCUACUUCAGCAGACUUUUCCAUCAGGUUUAAAAAUGAGUUCAGGAUUUUAAGGAAUCUGUACAUUUCAAACUGCUUUAUGUCACGAAAUCUGGCUAAAAAGUCGAGGCUGCAGCAUACUGUAUUUGAUAAGUUAACUUGGGCUGUUUGUGUUCUCUUCCACAAGUUUCCAAUGUCUGCAAAACAGAUUGAUGUGC